CUAUAGACCGCCAAACUCCUGAACGGAAUAUAAGGGAAUCCUCCAAACUCCCGAACAGAGAAUCAUACGAACUCCUCCUCUCCUGGAAUAGGCGAAAGAAUACUCCAAAGUAGCAAUCCCCCCAAACACGAGACCAAGCUCCGUCUUGAGGGUAAAACAGGAAUCUGCUUUAAUGAGGGCUACCUGCCCGGUAUUUAUGCAGGUCUCCCACCUGGUGGACACUCCCCUAGGGGACCAGAUGGAAGAAUGGGACAAGUACAUUAGCCAAUCACAGUGGCUCAGACAUAAACCCUCCCCUUUGUACAAGCAACCCCUCCUCUCUAUCCUGGAGAUAAUUGGGAAGAAAUCCAAUUAUCUCCAUGGAUAGAGGCAAAACGCCAUUUUAAAUAAU
Pelobates cultripes (western spadefoot toad) is the source of this 391-nucleotide non-coding RNA. The record is from the annotation of a GenBank genome assembly. Lineage: Eukaryota; Metazoa; Chordata; Amphibia; Anura; Pelobatidae.